GUUGGAUUUCGGAGUGACGAUGAGCCCGCGUGCCACCGCACGUUCGGUGAUUACCGGCUUAUCCUCCUCCUCCCUCUGGUGCAGGUGAGGGGAAUCAACCGCUAGGAUCGUUUACUUUGAGGAAAUUAGUGGGAUAAUGGAAUAGGACCCCGUUCCUGUUUCCGUUGGUUUAUCAUUGGGAAUGGGGUAAUGAUUGAUAGGGAUAGUUGGGGGCAUCGAUUUUUAAUUGGCUGAUGUGAAAUUCUUGGAUUUAUGAAAGAUCGACUUCCGACAAUGCAUUUAGGAUUUACUAAAGACUGACCAAUGCGAAAGCAUUUGCCAAGGAUGUUUUCAUUAAUCAAGAACGAAAGUAGGGGGAUCGAAGACGAUCAGAUACCGUCGUAGUCUCUACCGUAAACUAUGCCGACCAGGGAUCCGGAGAGUUUGCAUGGAUGACUCCCCGGGCACCUUGUGAGAAAUCAUAAGUGUUUGGGUUUUGGGGUUUGGGUUCCGGGGGGAGUAUGGUCGCAAGGCUGACACUUAAAGGAAUUGACUGAAAGGCACCACCACGAGUGGAGCCUGCGGAUUAUUUUACCUUUACAUAGGGGAAAACUUACCAGGUCCGGACGUAGUGAGGAUUGACAGAUUGAGCCCCCUUUUUCAAAACAAA
RNAcentral lists this ribosomal RNA (649 nucleotides) under Vermamoeba vermiformis. RNAcentral describes it as "bacterial SSU rRNA". It matches the Rfam family "Eukaryotic small subunit ribosomal RNA", at positions 633 to 1271 of the family's 1831-position model. The record is from RNAcentral. Lineage: Eukaryota; Tubulinea; Echinamoebida; Vermamoebidae.